This 736-nucleotide ribosomal RNA is filed under the name uncultured eukaryote. RNAcentral's name for it is "SSU rRNA". It matches the Rfam family "Eukaryotic small subunit ribosomal RNA", at positions 670 to 1428 of the family's 1831-position model. The record is from RNAcentral.
GGCCAUGUUGGUUUAACAGAUCCUCAUUUGUUGGAUUCGAUUAAUGAUGAUCUUUAUCGAUUGUUAUUAGUUGCCAACACGUUUACUUUGAGAAAAUUAGAGUGCUAAAAGCAGGCUCACGCCUAUAUAUAUUGCAUGGAAUAAUGAAAUAAGAUCUCGAUUUUAUUUCGUUGGUUUUAGAAAUUGAGAUAAUGAUUAAUAGGAUCAGAGGGGGGCGUACGUACUGUGGUGUGAGAGGUGAAAUUCUUGGAUCGCCACAGGACGAACAGCAGCGAAGGCGUUCGCCAAGAAUGUUUUCAUUAAUCAAGAACGAAAGUUUGAGGUUCGAAGACGAUUAGAUACCGUCCUAGUUCAAACCAUAAACGUUGCCAACUGUCUUUUAGAUGCGGUUAUAUUUAAUGACUCAUCUGGCGGAUCUCGAGAAAUCUAAGUUUUUAGGUUCCGGGGGAAGUAUGGUUGCAAAGCUGAAACUUAAAAGAAUUGACGGAAGGACACACAAGAAGUGGAGCCUGUGGCCUAAUUUGACUCAACACGGGAAACCUUACUCGGCCAGGACACUUUUAGGAUUGACAGAUUGAGAGCUCUUUCUUGAUUAGGUGGGUGGUGGUGCAUGGUCGUUCGUAGUUCGUGGAGCGAUUUGUCUGAUUAAUUUCGAUAACGAACGAGACUCCGGCUUACUAAAUAGUCUAAAGUUCGAAGGGACUUUUUCUUAGACUUCUUAGCAGGAUAAAUGACG